Molecule: non-coding RNA, 5675 nt
Organism: Salvia hispanica
Lineage: Eukaryota; Viridiplantae; Streptophyta; Magnoliopsida; Lamiales; Lamiaceae
Source: RefSeq, a predicted model, not a curated record
CUCAAAAAACAAAUUCUCGUUGUAUCAGAUUCACAUAAUCCGCUAAUUGUGCCAGCAACCUAUAUAUAGAUUUACCGAAUCCCGCGAAAGUGCUGAUUAGUUCACUCGAUUUGGGUUUAUGUAUAUCACAGGUUCGGAUCGGAAGGUUGAACGAGUUUGUGAUUUCCACGUUUUGCAGAUCGCGCAAUUGAAGCAGCUGCUACUUUCAGGUGUUGAAGGCCGUUUUCGAUCAAUAAUUUCGGAUGGUUUAGGGUUUUUUGAUUGCCAAUUAGGGAUUUCUAGGGUUUUUUUUAAUAAUCGAGAUAUUUAGGGUUUUGGAUUUGCGAGAAGCGGAAAGGGUGGUGUGUCAGGGCAAUUGAUUUGAAUUGAUGGUUGAAGGCAGUUUUUGGGGUUGUGUUGAAUCUCGGAAAAAUGCAAAGAAGGGAUUUUUAUUAUGCAUGGGAGGUUUCGGAGGGAAGGUGAGGGGAACUGCAGAAGUCUACAGCGCAGUAUCAGUUGGCAUAUGCACCCAACUGUAAUUGCUGCGGAUUCAAAUUCAUUUUUUAAGGAUGGUCGCAAAAUCAAUGUUGGCGAUUGUGCUCUUUUCAAACCUCCACAGGAUUCUCCGCCUUUUAUUGGUUUAAUUCGUCGCUUGACAUUGAGUAAAGAUAAUAACUUGCGGAUUGGAGUAAAUUGGCUUUAUCGACCUGCUGAGCUAACUCUCGAAAAAGGCCCUCUCUUGGACGGUGCACCAAACGAAAUCUUUUACUCCUUUCAUAAAGACGAAGCUCUUGCUGCCUCUUUACUUCAUCCUUGUAAAGUUGCAUUUCUUCCUCGAGGUGCUGAACUUCCCACAGGGACAUCCUCUUUUGUUUGUCGGCGCGUCUAUGACAUUGAAAACAAGUGUUUAUGGUGGCUAACAGAUCAAGAUUACUUUAAUGAGCAUCAAGAAGAAGUAAACCAGCUUUUAGACAAAACAAAGACAGAAAUGCACGGAACAUUGCAGCCUGGAGGCCGCUCCCCGAAACAAGCUAAUGGCCUGACUUCAGCAUCACAAUUGAAACCUAGUUCAGAGAAUGCUCAGAAUAGUGGAACUUCCUUUCCUUCUCAAACCAAGGGUAAAAAAAGGGAAAGAGGAGAUCAUUCCACUGAUCCUAUUAAACGGGAGCGUUUCUCAAAGACAGAUGAUAGUGGCUCUGGUCCACACAAAAUUGAAAAUAAUGUGAAAUCUGAUAUUGCAAAAAUAUCUGAGAAAGGUGGAGUUGUAGAUUUUGAAGGGGUUGAGAAGCUUUUACAGUUAAUGCAACAUAGAGUGGAGAAGAAAUUGGAUUUAAGUAGCCGUUCUAUGCUUGCUGGUGUAGUAGCUGCAACUGAGAGGAUUGAGUUCCUCAGUCUGUUUGUGCAGCUGAAGGGUUUAUCUGUAUUUGAUGAGUGGCUCCAGGAGAUCCAUAAGGGGAAGGUUGGUGGUGGGAAUAAUUCAAAGGAUGCUGACAAAUCCGUUGAAGAAUUUCUUUUGGUUUUACUUCGCGCACUGGAUAGACUUCCUGUGAACCUUCCUGCACUCCAAACAUGCAACAUUGGUAGAUCUGUGAAUCAUCUACGAUCACAUAAAAACGUAGAAAUUCAAAGAAAGGCUCGAAGUUUAGUUGACACGUGGAAGAAACGUGUUCAAGCGGAAAUGACUAAUAAUGACGCAGAGACUGGUUCCGCCCAAGGUGGACCCGUGUGGUCUUCCAAAUCACGCCUCCCAGAGGCUUCCCAUGCUGGUAGCAGAACACUUAGUGGAUCUGAUGUUGCCGUGAAAAGCUCUAUCACUCAACAUUCUACAUCUAAAACUACUUCAGUAAAGUCCUCACAUGGAGAAAAUAACACAAAGUCUGCAUCUUCUUCUCCUGGUCCAGUAAAACCAUCUUCGCCACCGACAUCUGUUAAGGAGAGCCAACCUGGAGCUUCUGCUGGUGGCAGUGACACUCCUGAAGCCCCUCUGACUAGGGAGGAUAGGAGCAGCAGUUCAAACCAGUCUCAUAUUUACAGUCCGUCAAUUUCAACAAAGGAGGAGGGAAAGAGUUCGGCAUCUGUUUCUGCAUCUGCUAGUAAGAUAUCAAGCAGUAGUUCUCGAAAUCGAAAAGGUGGUUGUUUUCCAGGGGUUAGUGGAGUUCAUAAAGAUAGCAGCUCUAGCAGAAGUUUAUCAUCGAUAAGAAAUUGUACCUCAGAUAAAGUUUCUCAAUCUGGUAUGGCGACUGAAAGGGUUAGUGAUGGACCGUUGCUUGAAGCAGGCAGUCCAAAGCUAAUUGUUAAGAUACCAAACCGGUCACGGAGUCCAAGUCAAGGUGUUAGUGGAGUAUCUCCUGAAGAUCCUUCUGCUCUGAGUAGCCAAUCAUCUCAACCAGUGCUUUUGGACAAACUUGAUCAGGUUGACAAUAACUCAAGAACGAAGAGUGAUGCUCUUCGAUGCAAGGCUAGUCCUGACGAGAAUGCUGAAUCUUGUCGAGUCAAUGAUAUGAAAGGUAUAGUGACUGGAUCUGGGUCGGCUGCUGUUCUUCUCGAAGAAGAAAAAAGUAUGUCAACCGAAGACUCCAGGCAAUCUGCGGAAGGCACAAAAAGGAACCAACUGAAAUGUGGAAAGUCACAUGAAACUACUUUUAGCCCAAUGAAUGCUUUAAUUGAAAGCUGUGUUAAAUAUUCGGAAGUGCACUCUUCAUUGUCCCCUGAGGAUGAUGUAGGGAUGAACUUACUUGCUAGUGUGGCAGCUGGUGAAAUGUCAAGAUCAGAAUUGAUUUCACCUACUGGUUCAACUGAAAGAAGCACACCUGCAACAGGAGUUUGCGUUAGUGAUGAUGCAAAAUCAAAGUUUUCCCCCGAAGAUCAAAUUCGAGGAACUGAAAGUCAGCAGCUUUGUGAUGACGGAGAAGGUGGUCUCAAGAAACAGGUUUUUUUAAAUGGUUCAUGCUUGGAAGGUGGAUUACAUGUGCCUAAACAAGCAUCAUUCUCUCCGGACGUGGAUUGUCGUCCAUCCCAUACUUCUGCAGACAUGGCAGCUGGAGAGAAAAACAAACCCUAUGACAAUGCUAGCACAGAGUCUAGAAGCACUGCUGACCAUAAAUGGGAGCUUAGUAAGAAUUUGACUCAAUUGACUGGUGCCAAUCAGAAGACUGGAGAUGGUGAAGUAAAUGAAGAAUAUCAGGUGGAAAAGACCCCAACAAGUGAUUCUUGCAUGGAUAAUAUUGUCGACUGUAAAAAAAAUGGAACUAAUGUUGCAGGGCCCGAGUACAAAUCUGGUGAUGAUCCCUCAGACACAGCUAAGGGGAUAAUUAUUGCUAAAGAUGCAUCUCUGGACCAAUUGUGUAAUAUCGAGUGCAAGAGUGAUGUGAAGGAUGGAUUGAUGGUGGGUGCUAAUUCCAUGAAGAAAAUCACUGCUACAGUUGUAAAGUCUGAACUCAAAGAUAGAGUUAGUGAUGAGAAGCCACAACAAACCUCAUCACAACCAAUACUUUCUGAAGAUGGUGAUGAAAUGAAAGUUAGAGAAAUUGAUGAAAAGAAUAUCAGGGCUUAUGUGAGUGAGGUUGAAUCCACUAGUGACGGUCUUAAAAGUCAUGAUAUGGAAACAGCUACAGAAAAGAAGGUGAUCAGCGAACCAGUUUCACUGCCUGAGACAGGGUUUCCUGCAUCUGUUGCCAACAAACGGCAUACAAAUGACAACAUUAGAGGAUCACAGCCUCUUGGCGUUAAAGUUGACGAAGUAGAAUCAGCUUCAAAUGUUGCCAAAACGCCCUCUGCUGCAGCAGGAGCAGAUUCAGAUACAAAAGUAAGGUUUGAUUUGAAUGAAGGGUUUACUGUUGAUGAUGGAAAAUUUGGGGAGCCAGGGAUUUUGGCGGCCUCUGUUUCAACAACUGUUCAGAUGUCCAACAGUCUGCAAUUUUCUGUAAAUCCUUUUCCUACCCUCCAUCCUACUUCCAUUACGGUGGCUGCUGCUGCAAAGGGCCCCUUUGUUCCUCCAGAGGACCUAUUGAGAAGUAAAGGGGAAUUGGGUUGGAAGGGAUCUGCUGCUACUAGUGCAUUUCGGCCAGCUGAACCUAGAAAAGUAAUUGAAGCGCCUUUGGCUACAACUAAUUUCUCAUGUGAUGCUUCUACCAGUAAAAAUGGCCGCACUAUGUUGGAUAUAGAUCUCAAUAUAGACCUGAAUGAGCCAGAUGAAAAAGUUCUUGAGGAGACAGCUUCUCGAGAUUGUUAUUUGGUUAAUGAUAGUUCUAUAUUGCUUAAUAAAAGUUCUGGUUUUAUACCGGUUCUUGGCUCUGGUGGGCUGGAUCUUGAUUUGAAUAGAGUUGAUGAAUCCAAUGAGAAUGGACAGUGUUCUACCAGCCGGGGUUAUAAUGAAGAGAGUUCUUUAUUGCAUCUCAAACCCUCGGGAGACUUAAUGCCUGCUGAUGUUCAAAGGGGUUUUGAUCUCAAUGAUCAGCCUGGGCUUGAUGAUGGUGGUGCAGAGCACUUAAGGACCACGCAACAAGUCAAAGUUGCUUUGACAUCCCAGUUGCCUUCUAUUGGUCUUAGAGCAAAUAAUCCAGGACUAGGUGGUUUGUCGUCUUGGUUCCCACCAGCUAGUGCUUAUUCAACUGUGGCGAUUCCAUCAAUUAUACCUGAUCGUGCUGACCAAUCCUUUCCAGGAAUUCCACCUGGAGCAUCACAGAGAAUGUUUAGCCCUGCUAGCAUAUCUCCAUUUACACCUGAUUUUUACCGUGGAUCAAUAUUGUCAUCAUCUCCUGCUGCGUCAUACCCAUCUGGUCCUUUCCAGAUUCCAGUGUUCCCUUAUGGACCCUCUUUUCCUCUUCCAUCUGCCAGUUUUCCAAUCAGUGGAACCUCAUAUGCAGAUGCCUCAUCUGGUACUAGGUUUUAUGCACCACCUGUCAAUUCUCAGAUGUUGGGACCAGUUAGUGCAAUUUCACCCCAAUUUCAGAGACCGUUUAUGGUCAGCCUUCCAGAUAAUAGCAGCAAUAGUGGACUGGAAAACAGCCGAACAUGGGGUAGACAAGGUCUUGACCUCAAUGCUGGCCCUGGAACUGUUGAAGGUGAUGUCAGGGAAGAUAAUUUGCCUCGUUCAUCAAGUCAACACUCAGUUAUCAAUUCACAUGCACAAGCAGAGGAGCAAGCUAGGCUCUAUCCAGCUUCAGGUUUGAAGAGGACGGAACCCGACGGAGGGUGGGAUAAAGAAAACUUCAGAUACAAGCAGUCAUGGCAGUAGGACUGUAAAUUUAUAGGCUACCUGCUCAAUUCAAGUCCUGUUGGAACCCACUUCCAUUUUACUCCUGAUGGGGAAAUAAACUCGUUAGUCUUACACUUUGUCUCUGAAGUCCCACCUCAUCUGAGCAUCAAUGAUAACCUCUCCAAACAGUACUGGGAGGAUAGAGGUCCUAAUCUACCUGUACAUAGUUUGACUCCUGGAGAAGCCUGAGCUUUUGGCGCCAAGAUAUACUGAAGAUUGAUGUGCAUAGUUUCUGGCUAACCGUUCUGAGGAGGCUGGAUCUUGGAUUUUAUACAAGCCCUUGUGAAUUUGAGCUUUUACUGUCAUCAUCCUUUGCACUUUUAUACUUUUAUUCUUAUUUUUUUUAGGACCACAUAUUUAUAAGUAGAUUUAUGUCGAAUUUUGGUGCUGAUGGUUUUUCGUCUCAAGGUUUAGUUGUAAUGGCCUUUGUUGUACUUCA